This 446-nucleotide ribosomal RNA is filed under the name uncultured Coriobacteriaceae bacterium. RNAcentral's name for it is "bacterial SSU rRNA". It matches the Rfam family "Bacterial small subunit ribosomal RNA", at positions 933 to 1382 of the family's 1533-position model. Lineage: Bacteria; Bacillati; Actinomycetota; Coriobacteriia; Coriobacteriales; Coriobacteriaceae. The record is from RNAcentral.
UGGAGUCAUGUGUUAAUUCGAAGCAACGCGAAGAACCUUACCAGGUCUUGACAUCCGAUGCUAUUUCUAGAGAUAGAAAGUUACUUCGGUACAUCGGUGACAGGUGGUGCAUGGUUGUCGUCAGCUCGUGUCGUGAGAUGUUGGGUUAGGUCCCGCAACGAGCGCAACCCCUGUCGUAUGUUGCCAGCAUUAAGUUGGGGACUCAUACGAGACUGCCGGCGUCAAGCCGGAGGAAGGUGGGGAUGACGUCAAGUCAUCAUGCCCCUUAUGUCUUGGGCUGCACACGUGCUACAAUGGCCGAUACAACGGGUUGCGAUACCGCGAGGUGGAGCGAAUCCCUUAAAGUCGGCCCCAGUUCGGAUCGGAGGCUGCAACUCGCCUCCGUGAAGUCGGAGUUGCUAGUAAUCGCGGAUCAGCAUGCCGCGGUGAAUACGUUCCCGGGCCUU